Long non-coding RNA from Drosophila albomicans, 1041 nucleotides. RefSeq lists it as uncharacterized. The record is from RefSeq and is a predicted model, not a curated record. The transcript is spliced from 2 exons. Lineage: Eukaryota; Metazoa; Arthropoda; Insecta; Diptera; Drosophilidae.
UUGAAUUCACGUUGCCGUUGUUUACGUUCGCGCUCUGCCGUUACGCCCACCAGGCGUCGACGCUUGCAGUUGUUGUCGUUGUCGUCGUUUCCGUUUUUCGUUCACGGCUGGCUGCAACAAACAACAACAGCAACAACAGCUGUGUGUAGUCCAAGCAACCAAAACAUCAACAACAUGUCUUAUCAGCCAAAGCGCACAGCGUUUUAACAUUAUCAGGAGUAGUACGCAUACACAUCCACAAUACACAAAUACAUGUACAUACAUAUGCAUAUGUGUGAGCGCGUAAUAGAUGAUCCACAACAAGCCAAGGACCCGACUACUAAAUACAAUACACAGACUCCACAGAAAUCAGCAAACGAUCUUGACUUCAUUUUUGUUUGUAGCCAGUUUUGGGCUAAUUAAUAAUAGAGUAUUGAGGGAAACCCCGCUUUAAAUACAAAUCAAACAAUAAUAAUAAUAUUUAAUCGGCAACCAUAAUAACAAUAGUAGCGAGUGCUGAUAAGGCGCUUAUCAGCGCAGUGACUUGAAUUGUUUUUAAAUAACAUGCAAAUACAAUGUAUAUCGAUAACAGAGUCGAUAGCACCUGUUGUCGCAUUACAGACUGUCGCGUUUUAUCGACUGCUAAUUGCAUGCCAGAUGACAGAGAAAUAACAGACCCACAUACACACACACGCGCACACAACGAAUAAGGACAAUCAGAGUGAACAGGUUACAAAGCGAGGGUGAGAUCGUCAUGUGUUGCCUGUGUGCGUGUGUGGGAGCAAGUGAGUACGACGCUAUUGUCGUACACUGAUGGAUUCACUCUAGUUGUUGUUUCUUUUUGUUUGCAUCGUUGCUGCUCUUGUCGUUUACUUAAACAGAUAACAUACAUAUGUACAUAUGUAUGUAUAUAAACAAGUAUAUGAAAUGCACUUGCUGUCGUUAUUAAUGCUGAAUAUAGCACAAAACUCGCGCGCGUGUGCGUGUGUGUGUGGCCACAGUGACAAGUUGCUGCUGAAUUUCUAUGCGUAACGGAGAGUCGAUAUUUGCUGUAAAAGAAAG